RNAcentral lists this ribosomal RNA (483 nucleotides) under uncultured bacterium. RNAcentral describes it as "partial 16S ribosomal RNA". It matches the Rfam family "Bacterial small subunit ribosomal RNA", at positions 28 to 508 of the family's 1533-position model. The record is from RNAcentral.
GAUGAACGCUAGCGGCAGGCCUAAUACAUGCAAGUCGAACGAGAUUAAGAGGCUUGCUUCUUAUGAAAGUGGCGCACGGGUGCGUAACGCGUAUGCAACCUACCUUAAUCAGGGGGAUAGCCCGAAGAAAUUCGGAUUAAGACCGCAUAAAAACACAGGAUAGCAUUAUCCAAUGUUCAAAUAUUUAUAGGAUUAAGAUGGGCAUGCGUGUCAUUAGCUAGUUGGCGGGGUAACGGCCCACCAAGGCGACGAUGACUAGGGGAUCUGAGAGGAUGACCCCCCACACUGGUACUGAGACACGGACCAGACUCCUACGGGAGGCAGCAGUAAGGAAUAUUGGUCAAUGGAGGGAACUCUGAACCAGCCAUGCCGCGUGCAGGAAGACAGCCCUCUGGGUCGUAAACUGCUUUUAUUCGGGAAUAAACCUUUCUACGUGUAGGAAGCUGAAUGUACCGAAGGAAUAAGGAUCGGCUAACUCCGUGC